Molecule: long non-coding RNA, 1117 nt
Organism: Triticum aestivum (bread wheat)
Lineage: Eukaryota; Viridiplantae; Streptophyta; Magnoliopsida; Poales; Poaceae
Exons: 2
Source: RefSeq, a predicted model, not a curated record
CCAAUACUCCCUCCGUCCGAAAAUACUUGUCAUCAAAAUGAACAAAAGGGGAUGUAUGUAGAUGUAUUUUAGUUCUAGAUACAUUCCUUUUUGUCCAUUUUGAUGACAAGUAUUUCCGGACGGAGGGAGUACUUUGUAACAGUUUGCAACCUGUGAUAUAGCUUAUGUCAUGGAAUAGAUGUGUCCUAGCUUUAUGACCGUUCAAACUCGUUCGUAAGCGUCAUCAUGCUUUUCUGUGUACAUUUGAUGGGAGCAUACUAUAUAUAUGUUCUGUUUGUGGCAUAUUGAAAAUGCUCAGGCAAAACAGAUCCAACUUGUCCAUACUUCCGUGGAAGGUCAUCUCUCUUAUCGCAUACAGCUGAAGAAGUUCAGCCUUUUUGCUGUCGGAGGUGCGUGAUAGUGAUCUGGUGAAGGAUGCGGAGGCUAUAGCUAACGGCCUGGCUGGUGCAUCCGGUGAUUUUCUGUUGAAGAGCAUUACUUGUAAUAAAUAUCCUCAUAAAUUUGAAAUUAAGUAAUCCUGGCUAAACUUUCCUCAGAUUCUGAAGAGCUAAAACUUUGUGGGAAGAAGUUUUUGAAAAUCCUAGCACCUGCUGUUUCUGCUUUUCUCUGCACCUUGGAGUGUGUGCAUGAAUUGCAAAUGUUAUGGUAGAAGCUUCACUCUUUGUUUUGCUUACACAUACGCUGCCCUGCAGAUGGUUGAAGUCUUCAAUGCUUACCCCUGAGAUUAGUCAUCUUGUCAAGCAGUCCAUUCUCACCCUUACAUUUACUCAGAAGAACAUUGAGUUUCAGAGUAUCAGCUCGGACAUCUCUGGUUUCACGGAACAUCAAAACUGCUGAUCAAGUCCCUUAACAAAGUUGAACAAAACGCAGCUAUGUGUCGACAAGUGUCCAAGUGGAAAAUUACCGGCAGAGUAGACCCGUCCUGAUGAGAUUGAAAGUAUCUUCUUUUUUUUUGCGGGGAAGAUUGAAAGUAUCUUAAGAGACGUUUCCCCCGACCAUUUGUUCAUGUUAGUCAGAUCACCUGAGCAAACCCAUAUUAAUUGACUCUCAAGCAGAUGUAUCUAGCACUAAAAUAUGUCAAGAUACAUCCAUUUGAGCGUCAAUUAUAAGACUAAAA